Molecule: ribosomal RNA, 463 nt
Filed under: uncultured Klebsiella sp.
Lineage: Bacteria; Pseudomonadati; Pseudomonadota; Gammaproteobacteria; Enterobacterales; Enterobacteriaceae
Description: bacterial SSU rRNA
Rfam family: Bacterial small subunit ribosomal RNA
Source: RNAcentral
CUACGGGUGGCUGCAGUGGGGAAUAUUGCACAAUGGGCGCAAGCCUGAUGCAGCCAUGCCGCGUGUGUGAAGAAGGCCUUCGGGUUGUAAAGCACUUUCAGCGGGGAGGAAGGCGGUGAGGUUAAUAACCUCAUCGAUUGACGUUACCCGCAGAAGAAGCACCGGCUAACUCCGUGCCAGCAGCCGCGGUAAUACGGAGGGUGCAAGCGUUAAUCGGAAUUACUGGGCGUAAAGCGCACGCAGGCGGUCUGUCAAGUCGGAUGUGAAAUCCCCGGGCUCAACCUGGGAACUGCAUUCGAAACUGGCAGGCUAGAGUCUUGUAGAGGGGGGUAGAAUUCCAGGUGUAGCGGUGAAAUGCGUAGAGAUCUGGAGGAAUACCGGUGGCGAAGGCGGCCCCCUGGACAAAGACUGACGCUCAGGCGCGAAAGCGUGGGGAGCAAACAGGAUUAGAUACCGUGUAGUC